AGGGGUAUAUGUCUUCGGAUAUAGAGACCGGCGCACGGGUGCGUAACGCGUAUGCAAUCUACCUUUUACAGGGGAAUAGCCCAGAGAAAUUUGGAUUAAUGCCCCAUAGUAUAAUUGAAUGGCAUCAUUUAAUUAUUAAAGUCACAACGGUAAAAGAUGAGCAUGCGUCCCAUUAGUUAGUUGGUAAGGUAACGGCUUACCAAGACAAUGAUGGGUAGGGGUCCUGAGAGGGAGAUCCCCCACACUGGUACUGAGACACGGACCAGACUCCUACGGGAGGCAGCAGUGAGGAAUAUUGGACAAUGGGCGCAAGCCUGAUCCAGCCAUGCCGCGUGCAGGAAGACGGUCCUAUGGAUUGUAAACUGCUCUUAUACAGGAAGAAACACUCCGACGUGUCGGAGCUUGACGGUACUGUAGGAAUAAGGAUCGGCUAACUCCGUGCCAGCAGCCGCGGUAAUACGGAGGAUCCAAGCGUUAUCCGGAAUCAUUGGGUUUAAAGGGUCCGUAGGCGGUUUAAUAAGUCAGUGGUGAAAUCUGGUCGCUCAACGAUCAAACGGCCAUUGAUACUGUUAGACUUGAAUUAUAAGGAAGUAACUAGAAUAUGUAGUGUAGCGGUGAAAUGCUUAGAUAUUACAUGGAAUACCAAUUGCGAAGGCAGGUUACUACUUAUGGAUUGACGCUGAUGGACGAAAGCGUGGGGAGCGAACAGGAUUAGAUACCCUGGUAGUCCACGCCGUAAACGAUGGAUACUAGCUGUUGGAAGCAAUUUCAGUGGCUAAGCGAAAGUGAUAAGUAUCCCACCUG
Molecule: ribosomal RNA, 804 nt
Filed under: uncultured Bacteroidota bacterium
Lineage: Bacteria; Pseudomonadati; Bacteroidota
Description: bacterial SSU rRNA
Rfam family: Bacterial small subunit ribosomal RNA
Source: RNAcentral